This 437-nucleotide long non-coding RNA is filed under the name Capsicum annuum. Its description in RNAcentral is "long non-coding RNA (CANN_LNC015907)". The record is from RNAcentral. Lineage: Eukaryota; Viridiplantae; Streptophyta; Magnoliopsida; Solanales; Solanaceae.
GGAAAAUUGGAAAGAUCAGGAAGUACCUAACAUGAACUAAGCCACAUAAACAUCUCGUUCUUAGGUUUUGAAUAAGGUGAUCUAAGGAGUGAUUCAAAAAUGGUACUCGAUUCUAUAUUCAACAAAGGGGGAAAUUUGUCAAUAGCUGGCAUUUGCCUGAACUGCAAGGUCUACAACCUUGAUACCAUUCUUGAGAAUAGAAGUUCAAAGUGAUGGCUUGUCCUGAAGAUUAUAAAAGUUUAUGUAACGGUGUGAUUAUAAAUCAUACACAAUGGUAUGAUUCAGUAAGAAGUCAUACUAGCUACAAGGUUUUUUCAGAAAGCCGGAAUUAACAAGAAACUGAACUUAAGCAAAAUCAUACGAAAAGAAAAAGAGAGAUACGAGACAACUAUAUAGGAUAUUUCUGAACUUACACAAGUGGCAAUAAUUGCACCAGA